AAGAAUCCAAGGGCAAAGCCACUGCUUCUACUAGCCAGUCUGAAAAGCCAGUAGUAGUAUUCACUUCUUCUUAGCUUCCCACUACCAUACCAGAGCUUGCCUCCGGACCAUCUACUUCCACCUCUCCAGAUAUUCCAUCCUCCUUAGCAUACCCAUUGAAUGCCCACAGAUUGAGCCAAACACUCUCCAAAAUCAACAACUGGAUGCAGGCAGCAACUUUUUUAGCUGUCUGUGCUAUCUAGUUCAGCGGCAGCCCAGUCACUGCCCCCAUAGCCACAAGUACCAGCAUCCAUAGAGGAUAUUCUCAUAGAGCUUUUGGACAACCAGAAGAAGCUCCUUGAUAACCAACAGGUGAUAAUGGAUGCUCUUGCUGAACAAGGGAAAACACUUAAGGAGC
This 397-nucleotide long non-coding RNA is filed under the name Nicotiana benthamiana. RNAcentral's name for it is "long non-coding RNA (NBEN_LNC018570)". The record is from RNAcentral. Lineage: Eukaryota; Viridiplantae; Streptophyta; Magnoliopsida; Solanales; Solanaceae.